This 229-nucleotide ribosomal RNA is filed under the name uncultured bacterium. Its description in RNAcentral is "partial 16S ribosomal RNA". It matches the Rfam family "Bacterial small subunit ribosomal RNA", at positions 524 to 752 of the family's 1533-position model. The record is from RNAcentral.
UACGUAGGGUGCAAGCGUUAAUCGGAAUUACUGGGCGUAAAGCGUGCGCAGGCGGUUUUGUAAGUUUGUCGUGAAAGCCCCGGGCUCAACCUGGGAAUUGCGAUGAAGACUGCAAGGCUUGAAUCUGGCAGAGGGGGGUAGAAUUCCACGGUGUAGCAGUGAAAUGCGUAGAGAUGUGGAGGAACACCGAUGGCGAAGGCGCCCCUGGGUCAAGAUUGACGCCUCAUGC